CUCUGUAGCCAUAACACCUGCCUGAUCUCAGAAGCUAGGUAGGAUUGUGCCUAGGUGGCAUUUGGAUGGGAGAAUGCCUAGGAACACUGGGUCCUAUAGGCU
Molecule: ribosomal RNA, 102 nt
Filed under: Octodon degus (degu)
Lineage: Eukaryota; Metazoa; Chordata; Mammalia; Rodentia; Octodontidae
Source: RNAcentral